Long non-coding RNA from Ziziphus jujuba (common jujube), 6570 nucleotides. RefSeq lists it as uncharacterized. The record is from RefSeq and is a predicted model, not a curated record. The transcript is spliced from 4 exons. NCBI's taxonomy places the organism in Eukaryota, Viridiplantae, Streptophyta, Magnoliopsida, Rosales, Rhamnaceae.
AAGCAUGGUUUAACAGCAUAUUUGAUAGCAUCUUUUUUGUUGUCACAUGGUUUUGACAUAGAAAGUCCCAAAAUAUAUUGGUGUCAAUUAUCCCCCCAAUUUUUUGAACUUCAUCGUGACAAGGAUUUACAAGUUUGUCACCGAUACUUUUCAUGUUGACAAGCCGAUCACUACCAGUUGUUUGAGUCCAACGACGUCGUUUAGUAACACCAACGAUAUGAAAAUCCCCAAACCUUUUCCAAGUCCAGGUCCCCAUUUUCACUUACCCCUCGUGGCCAACUUCACUCUUCGGACUGCACCUCCUCUCAAUCUCUCCCUCUCGAUCUCCUGCUCCGCUCCCAAUCUUGGUUUCUUACUCGCCGUCUGCCUCUCGAUCUCUGUCCCCCUGGCCCGCUUCUCCCUUUUUCUAUGGAUCUUGGUUUUACUGCCGAGAGCUCCGUAUGGGAAGGAUGAGAGGCAAUUCCAAGGCUUACACUGUGAGCAAUUAAAGCUUCCUGAAAAGGCCGGAUAUGUUGCCAGCCCUACGGUUUAGACAGCAAUCUAUCUUCCUUCCAAUGAAGCUGUCGUUGUCAAGUGCUUGGAUCUCGAUCGCUGCGAUAGUAAUCUGGUUACCUGCUUAUUAUUAUUUUCUUUCUCUCUAUAAUUAUUAUUUCUUUUUUUUUCUCAGAGUUUUUCAUUUUGAUUCAAAAUUUUGACUUUAGCUAGAUCUUGGUUUUGUUUUGGAAUUGGAUAUUUUGGAAUUCGAAUUCUCUUUGAUUUGUUCGGUUCCAUAUGCUGAGUUUGCAUAGGGGCAGAGGGUCAUUUAUCUUGGUGUGUUUAUGUCUAACAUCUUUGGUGAUUAUUCAGUGUUCAAAGUAGUUUAUUUACUUAUUUAUUUUCUGCCCUGGCCUCAAAGGAGUCUAAGGUAAUUGGGUCCAGGCGCAUGGGAUGGGAAAUUUGGGUGUGAAACAUAAUGAGGAGUACCGUAGGUCCUUGUAUGGUGAAAUCACUCACAAGGCUUUGCCGUUUUGAUGCUGUUGGCACUCUUCUUGUUCACAUGGCUAAACUAUCCUCGCUCUUAUAUUUUCAUUUUAUUUUUUAUUUUUUAUUUUGAUAUUGUAGCUUCUUCGUAACUUUUAUUUAUUUAUUUAUUUUUUGGUAACGUAAUUAUAUGCUGAUUGUGUGUUUGAUGUUUAUGUAGCUACUAAAGGAGCAUUUUAGGCAAGAAGGCUGGUAUUUGGAUUUCUCAGUAUGUGAGGCUCAUACUAUAUUUUUAUUUAUCUUUUUCUUGUAUCUAGCUGGAAACAUAAACCAUCAUGUUUGAAUGUUUGCUUUUCAUGCUUAUGUUAAGAAUGUGAUCUUGGCGUUGACACAUGCAAAUUUAUUUGAGUUUUGAAGGUCCCUUCCUAGAUAUUCUAGAUGGAUAAAGUACGACUGCUCGGUCUCUGAAUUAUUGAGAUAUUAAUUCUAUCUUCUAGGAAUUAUCUUCAUUUUAAUUUUAGUGCCUAAUGUGGUGCAUGUUAUAUUAGAGACCAGAAAUGCCUUUUAUCUUAGUGCUUCUUUGCUGUGAUUGUAAGUUUUACCAGUUCAAUUUUCCGAGAACGUUUAUUUAACAUCGAAAGAGAUAAUGGCAACUAUAUUAUAUGUGAUUAUGUUGACAUUGUAAUACAAAAAUAUUGAAGUUAUUAUAGAGCAUAAGUGCUUUUUUGUACAUUGUUCUCAUGCUUGCGAUGGUAGGAUCGUGUUUACUGGAUGCAUAUUAUUCCAACAUAUGUGUGUCUCUUUGUUCUACAUCAUGAUAAUCGAGUGGUGUUUGUCCAUUCCGAAUCAUUCUUACAUCGAGAUACUGAGCCAAGACAAUUUCCUCAUGGAUUUAGGGAGGCGUGCAAAUCAGGUAUGUGGAAAAUAUUUUAAAAUUGGAAUUUUCUUUCACAUUCUACAGGGCAUUCCUUGAUACCUGCUUCCUCAUGGGUUUAUAUCAUUGACUUUGGUCUUGCUAAAAAAUAUAAAGAUGCUUCAACUCGUCAACAUAUUCCUUUGAGGUCCAUAACUUUCAAACGGGAGCUCCAUUUUCGAUGUACUACUUGUCUACGGACUCGGGUCGAUGUGAACUUCACAACGGUGCCUCGGUCAACCUAUAAUUCUCACCGAGUCAAAAAAUCAAAGUUUCACCCUUCUAGGUCAAUGAUGAUCAAACCCGGUCAAUUUGAGAAAUUUUUGACGUACUUCGGGGUGGGGUGUUACAAUUGGGUCACUAACAGACAAAAACUUGGGACUGGUUGGAUACUGAUAUAAAAUUGAUGCUUAAAACUGCUUAGAACCAUAGCUUUUUAUCCAUAACUUAGAAUUUGACGUGCCUCCAGUUUAUGAACUCGUAUUGGCGAGCUCUACACAAUGGUACAUCAGUCAAACCAAAAAUCUUAACCAUAGAAAAAGUCAAUUUUAGACUCACAUACUGUUCACUUGGUCAAAUCUGGUCAAACUUGUAUAACAUGUGUAUUUUGGUACGGAUUGUUACAUAAGAAGUAUAAACUAGGUGGAGAAUUCUAUAUGUAAGCCUUUCUAUGGGCUUGCUAUGUGUUUGGAAAAUGCAAUUGAAUCUGAGAUCGAAUCUGUUUAAGACUCACUAAUGUUGACCAUACACAAUCAUAUAUUAAGAUACUAUUUCUGCUUCUUACAAGCUUUGGUGGUCAUUUAUACCAGAUUUUUGUGUUUUUAUUUACCAUGAAGAUCUGGUUGUAAUCCUCUAAUCACAAAAAACACAGAAAACCAACAAAGAAAAUAAAAAAAGAUAAAACACAAAAUAUUGAGAAAAAAAAAGAUGUAUUAUUCUCUUUGAAAUUAAUAUAUAGAAAAAACUUUUCUAAAAACUCUCUCUGGAGUCUCUAAAAAGAUAUCUAAUACACCAUACAAUAUACCAGUAGUGUCAAAUGGUACUCAGCAUUUCAAGUACUACUCAGAUGGAGAUGUUAAAUUGAGAAACCUGUAAUUGGUCACCUUGGCAUCCCAAGGCACCGAUUGCUAAUAACUUGCCACGGCUUAACUAGUCGUCCUUCAACCGAGAGGUAGGGUGGCUGAUGCUAUCACAGCAAAAUACUUGCCUACCAUCUCUCACCACAUAUUACAAAAGACGCCCAUAUACAUACAACCUACGUACUAAUCCAUAAUAUAAUAACCAGUCAUCCUACAGCCAAGGGGGGCAACUGAUGCUCACUGUGCAAAAUACUUGCCAACCCUUAUGCUCAGAACUCCUACAGGAUGACCAUAAAUAUUUGCACGCUAAACACAAAUAAAGUACAAAAUAUCAGUACUGUAUGAUGCAUCUACAAACUACUAACCGUACAUAAAAUAAAUAUAUAAAAUAUGUGUGUGUGUGUGUGUAUAUAUAUAUAUUUAGUUACCAAAAGUGUCAACUCCUCAUAAUUAUACUUUUAAAAGCGUAAUUUAAUUAUUUUAAACAAAUGAAUAAGUAAACAAAUAAACAAAUAAAUAAGUGGAUGAAUAAUUAAAUGAAUAAAUAAAUAGAUGAAUAAAUAUAUAAAUUAACUACAUAAUUAAAUAAGUAGAUAAGCACAAUAUUAAUUUUUUCUUAAUUCAACAUAAAGAUCUAAAUGCAUAAUUAAAUUCCUCAAUUUCCUAAAUCGGAUUCUUUAAAUCCAUCAGAUCUUAUUAAAAUUAAUUAUUUCCAAUAAGUACUAUUUACACAAAAUUUUACAUACAUAAAUAUAUUUUAUCAUGCAUAAUAAAUUUAGCAAUAAACUCAAUAAGAAAUUUAACACAAUAAUUUCUUUAAGCCAUAAAAUUAUUCUUAUACAACAAUAUGUUUAAAUUUGCAUAGAUUGGCACAAUAAAAUUAAAUAAUAAUUUUUCUAAAAUUUAAACACAAACAAAAUUUUGGAAUAUUUUAAACAACUCAAAUAAUUAAUUAUACCUAUCCGAAAAUAGAUUUUGAAAAUGGGCCACUCACUUUAAUGAUCUUGUCUAUCCUUGCUCUAUCGCAAGAUUCGCCGCAAGUCCCACCAAUGCCUAAUAUACUUCAAAAAUAUUAUCCAAUUAACAUAUAUAUUUUCCCAUCAUAUUGGAAUACUUUAAAUAUUUUAAAACUCACUUUCGCUAACUCAGGAUUCCAAUGUUGGACUCUAAAGGAGCCAGGCUACACAGUAUACUUUUAUGAAAUUGAAUAUUCCAUUAGCAUCUACUACCCAUUGAGAACAUACAUGUGACAAUUUUUCUUAGGAAAAACUUUCAAUAUAGUCCAAUUUUUACAAUAAUUUCUAAAUUAGCUCAAAAAUGGUGCAAUAUUAAAUACAUAACCAUAAUUAGUAAACUAUAUAUCAAAUGAAAGCUUGUAAGACAAAGAUCAAAGAUACUUAGCUCAAAUACCCCAAUCUCAUUAUCGGUGGCCAAAAAACAGCCAAAAAGUUUUGGCCAAAUUUCCAUUCAAUAUAUCCCUCAAAUGAUUUAGAAUUUGAACAAAUAGAAGCCGUUUACAAAAACUAGGGGGAGAGACCCAGCUCGUGGCCGGAAACCGUUGAAACACCAGCGAAUGGGUGGUCACCGGUCACCCACAAUGGAGCAUCGAUCCAGUCGCUUCUGUGGGCCAAAUGGCUAGAGACUCAGUCGUUGGCGUUGACCAAUCGUGGGCUUCUAUUCCAGCUAAUGUGUAACACUCCGUCCCGAAAUACGCUGAAAAUUUCUCAAGUGGACCAGGUUUGAUCGUCGUUGACCGAGAAAGGGUCAAACUUUGACUUUUUGACUUUGUGAGAAUUCUAGGUUGACCGAGGCACCAUUGCAAAGUACACAUCGAUCCAAGUUCGUAUACUAGUAGCACGAUGAAAACGGAGCUAUGGUUUGAAAGUUAUGGGCAAAACAAGUUAAGGUUUGAACUAUCUAAGGGUGUCGGAGUUGAUUUUUUAUUUGUGUAAAAUUGAGCUUUGUCCUAUGCAUGGUUAUGAAGUACUCGUCGAUACGAGUUCAUAGACUAGUGGCACGUCUAAUUUGGACAUUUUGUUGAAAAGUUAUGGACCUGUAAAGUUUUUCGAAUACCGUAAUAUUUUAAUAUUAUUUUUGAAUAUGUAAACAGUGUGUGCCAUGUGUCAAAAUCUAGCCAACCCGUGAGUGCACAGUGACACCCAUGGGAGGCAUUUUGAUUGGGCAAAUGGUUGUGUGGGGGCAUGGGAGGAGUGAGGUGGAGGAGAGAGAAAGAGGAGGGAGAAAGAGAUGAGAGAGAGUCAGGACCGGCCACCACAGAUCCAUCCUUUUCUGGCCACCCCCGAUCUACAUGUGCUGGACCACCGUGAAGCCAACCUACAAACCGGCUGGCUAGCAAAAAAUCACAACCAACCGACCCCGACACGCCUGGAUAGAGGUGACUUCCGUCGGCGGCAUCGAUUCCUUCUCCGGUCGAUUUCUCCCAAACCAGACCUCCAUUUGCCUCACCGCUGGUCCCGUUGAGUCACAUGUCCCCUGAUCUACCUUCCCACCAAAAAUCACAGCCAAUGGCCAUCGGACAUGCCGCUGAUGGUGAUGGUUUUUGAUGACCACAGUGGCUCGUCGGAAAACUUGAUUCUGGCGAGUUACCGAUUACACUGCCCACCUUUUCCCACUAAUCCAAGCCCCCUGAACCCAAAUUCGAGGUUAGUUUUCUCCAAUUCAUGGAAGUUUGUGAGAUCUGAAGAUUUAAAGAUCGAAACCUUCCCGGUGAGAUUCCGACCACCUUGGGUCCGAUUUCCGGAAGGAAUACGUGUGGAUUGUGGAAUCGAUCCUAUGGAGGAUCUUGAUUUAAUGGCGUGCUCAAGAUGCACCCAUAUAGCACUGGUGUUCUAUGGUUGUGGAUAUGAUUACCGCGCGGGUGGAAUGGAUAAGCGCACAGGUUGUAAUGUCUACCGUGAAUUGAUAUGGAUCUGAGGGUAGGCAAGUUUUAUUUAGUGCACAUAAGUCGCCCCCCUCCAUGGCCGGGAUGACGGUUUAAGCAGCGGUGCUGUCAGGACGCCGAAGCGACUGUACGCAAGUUUCUCUCUUUAACCUCCCGCCAGAUGAUGCUAGGGAUACUGGGUAUCGUAGGCCAUCACUGGUAUAUAGUAUGAUGCGUUAAGUUAUUUUGUGGAUCCGGUUUUCAAAAUGUAAUGUUUUCAAAAUUAUAUUUGAAAUUAAAAGUAUUUAAUUGUGAUUUUAUUAUUUAUUAAAAUUGUGUCCAAAAAUAUAUUUUACCAUGUUUUCAAGGCUUACAUAAAUUUAAGAUUAUCAAAAAGAUUUUCUAUGCUAUCUAGUAUUAUUUUAUUAAAUUAUUGAGUAUAAUUUUUAUAAAUUAAUUAUUGAAAUCAAUUUUGUUUUACGUUAAAUCCCUUUAUUACUAAAUUAACUUGUUGCAUAUUAUUUGCAUUUUAUUUAUCAAUAUUCAUUGGAUAUUCAGUUGGCUGAUUAUUAAAUGUCAUGAUUAUAUGUUGAAUUAAAUGUUGGCUUGGUUAAUUUAUUUGAUUAUUUAUUAUUAAUUAAUAAAGUUCAUCUUAUCGUUAUAUUAUUAUUAUAAUUGUGUCAUAAUUAGGGUCAUUCACUGAGAUGAUUAGCAUCUCAUAUUCUUAACUUCUAUUC